This 266-nucleotide ribosomal RNA is filed under the name uncultured bacterium. RNAcentral's name for it is "partial 16S ribosomal RNA". It matches the Rfam family "Bacterial small subunit ribosomal RNA", at positions 793 to 1055 of the family's 1533-position model. The record is from RNAcentral.
GUCCACGCUGUAAACGAUGAGAGCUAGUUGUCGGCACGCAUGCGUGUCGGUGACGCAGCUAACGCAUUAAGCUCUCCGCCUGGGGAGUACGGCCGCAAGGUUAAAACUCAAAGAAAUUGACGGGGGCCCGCACAAGCGGUGGAGCAUGUGGUUUAAUUCGAAGCAACGCGAAGAACCUUACCCACGUUUGACAUGUCCAGUUUGGUCGGCAGAGAUGCCUUCCUUCACCUCGGGUGGCUGGAACACAGGUGCUGCAUGGCUGUCGU